AGUGAACGCUGGCGGUAGGCCUAACACAUGCAAGUCGAACGGCAGCACAGUAAGAGCUUGCUCUUACGGGUGGCGAGUGGCGGACGGGUGAGGAAUACAUCGGAAUCUACUUUUUCGUGGGGGAUAACGUAGGGAAACUUACGCUAAUACCGCAUACGACCUACGGGUGAAAGCAGGGGAUCUUCGGACCUUUCGCGAUGGAAUGAGCCGAUGUCGGAUUAGCUAGUUGGCGGGGUAAAGGCCCACCAAGGCGACGAUCCGUAGCUGGUCUGAGAGGAUGAUCAGCCACACUGGAACUGAGACACGGUCCAGACUCCUACGGGAGGCAGCAGUGGGGAAUAUUGGACAAUGGGCGAAAGCCUGAUCCAGCCAUACCGCGUGGGUGAAGAAGGCCUUCGGGUUGUAAAGCCCUUUUGUUGGGAAAGAAAAGCAGCAGGUUAAUACCCCGCUGUUCUGACGGUACCCAAAGAAUAAGCACCGGCUAACUUCGUG
This 492-nucleotide ribosomal RNA is filed under the name uncultured bacterium. RNAcentral's name for it is "partial 16S ribosomal RNA". It matches the Rfam family "Bacterial small subunit ribosomal RNA", at positions 29 to 507 of the family's 1533-position model. The record is from RNAcentral.